CCUACGGGGUGCAGCAGUGGGGAAUAUUGCACAAUGGGCCCAAGCCUGAUGCAGCCAUGCCGCGUGUAUGAAGAAGGCCUUCGGGUUGUAAAGUACUUUCAGCGAGGAGGAAGGCAUCAAGGUUAAUAACCUUGGUGAUUGACGUUACUCGCAGAAGAAGCACCGGCUAACUCCGUGCCAGCAGCCGCGGUAAUACGGAGGGUGUAAGCGUUAAUCGGAAUUACUGGGCGUAAAGCGCACGCAGGCGGUCUGUCAAGUCGGAUGUGAAAUCCCCGGGCUCAACCUGGGAACUGCAUUCGAAACUGGCAGGCUAGAGUCUUGUAGAGGGGGGUAGAAUUCCAGGUGUAGCGGUGAAAUGCGUAGAGAUCUGGAGGAAUACCGGUGGCGAAGGCGGCCCCCUGGACAAAGGCUGGCGCUCAGGUGCGAAAGCGUGGGGAGCAAACAGGAUUAGAUACCCGUGUAGUC
RNAcentral lists this ribosomal RNA (465 nucleotides) under uncultured bacterium. RNAcentral's name for it is "bacterial SSU rRNA". It matches the Rfam family "Bacterial small subunit ribosomal RNA", at positions 338 to 795 of the family's 1533-position model. The record is from RNAcentral.